RNAcentral lists this ribosomal RNA (465 nucleotides) under uncultured Klebsiella sp. Its description in RNAcentral is "bacterial SSU rRNA". It matches the Rfam family "Bacterial small subunit ribosomal RNA", at positions 338 to 795 of the family's 1533-position model. Lineage: Bacteria; Pseudomonadati; Pseudomonadota; Gammaproteobacteria; Enterobacterales; Enterobacteriaceae. The record is from RNAcentral.
CCUACGGGUGGCAGCAGUGGGGAAUAUUGCACAAUGGGCGCAAGCCUGAUGCAGCCAUGCCGCGUGUGUGAAGAAGGCCUUCGGGUUGUAAAGCACUUUCGGCGGGGAGGAAGGCGUUAAGGUUAAUAACCUUGGCGAUUGACGUUACCCGCAGAAGAAGCACCGGCUAACUCCGUGCCAGCAGCCGCGGUAAUACGGAGGGUGCAAGCGUUAAUCGGAAUUACUGGGCGUAAAGCGCACGCAGGCGGUCUGUCAAGUCGGAUGUGAAAUCCCCGGGCUCAACCUGGGAACUGCAUUCGAAACUGGCAGGCUAGAGUCUUGUAGAGGGGGGUAGAAUUCCAGGUGUAGCGGUGAAAUGCGUAGAGAUCUGGAGGAAUACCGGUGGCGAAGGCGGCCCCCUGGACAAAGACUGACGCUCAGGUGCGAAAGCGUGGGGAGCAAACAGGAUUAGAUACCCUUGUAGUC